RNAcentral lists this long non-coding RNA (294 nucleotides) under Sorghum bicolor (sorghum). RNAcentral's name for it is "long non-coding RNA (SBIC_LNC011507)". Lineage: Eukaryota; Viridiplantae; Streptophyta; Magnoliopsida; Poales; Poaceae. The record is from RNAcentral.
CGUUUGUUUACUGCUACUAAACUUUAGUCCCUAUAACAUUAGAUAUUUGGACACAUUAGUGAAGUAUUAAAUAUAGACUAUUUAUAAAACUAAAAAGUAUAUAGAUAUAGACUAAUUUGUGAGAUGAAUUUCUAAGCCUAACUAAUCUAUAAUUAGACACUAAUUGCUAUACAUGUGCUAAUGAUCAAUUGAUUAGGUUUAAUACAAUUUAUUUUUCUAUUAGCAUCUGAACACUUUAUAGACCACCUCAUAUAUAAUAUCUGAUGUAACACUUAUUAAACUUUAGCUCCUGAA